UAGUCUACGCCGUAAACGAUGGAUACUAGUUGUUUGAUCUUCGGAUUGAGUGACUAAGCGAAAGUGAUAAGUAUCCCACCUGGGGAGUACGUUCGCAAGAAUGAAACUCAAAGGAAUUGACGGGGGCCCGCACAAGCGGUGGAGCAUGUGGUUUAAUUCGAUGAUACGCGAGGAACCUUACCAGGGCUUAAAUGUAGUAUGACAGGUUUAGAGAUAGACUUUUCUUCGGACAUAUUACAAGGUGCUGCAUGGUUGUCGUCAGCUCGUGCCGUGAGGUGUCAGGUUAAGUCCUAUAACGAGCGCAACCCUUGUCGUUAGUUGCCAGCAUGUAAUGAUGGGGACUCUAACGAGACUGCCGGUGCAAACCGAGAGGAAGGUGGGGAUGACGUCAAAUCAUCACGGCCCUUACGUCCUGGGCCACACACGUGCUACAAUGGUAUGGACAAUGAGCAGCCAUCUGGCAACAGGGAGCAAAUCUAUAAACCAUAUCAC
RNAcentral lists this ribosomal RNA (492 nucleotides) under uncultured bacterium. RNAcentral describes it as "bacterial SSU rRNA". It matches the Rfam family "Bacterial small subunit ribosomal RNA", at positions 791 to 1289 of the family's 1533-position model. The record is from RNAcentral.